RNAcentral lists this ribosomal RNA (433 nucleotides) under uncultured bacterium. Its description in RNAcentral is "partial 16S ribosomal RNA". It matches the Rfam family "Bacterial small subunit ribosomal RNA", at positions 29 to 507 of the family's 1533-position model. The record is from RNAcentral.
AACGAACGCUGGCGGCAUGCCUAACACAUGCAAGUCGAACGAGACCUUCGGGUCUAGUGGCGCACGGGUGCGUAACGCGUGGGAACCUUCCCUUAGGUUCGGAAUAACUCCCCGAAAGGGGUGCUAAUACCGGUUAAUUUCUUCUGACCAAAGAUUUAUCGCCUUUGGAUGGUCCCGCGUUGGAUUAGCUCGUUGGUAGGGUAAAAGCAUACCAAGGCGACGAUCCAUAGCUGGUCUGAGAGGAUGAUCAGCCACACUGGGACUGAGACACGGCCCAGACUACGACGGGAGGAAGCAGUGGGGAAUAUUGGAAAAUGGGCGAAAGCAUGAUAAAGCAAUGCCGCGUGAGUGAUGAAGGCCUUAGGGUUGUAAAGCUCUUUUACCCGGGAUGAUAAUGACAGUACCGGGAGAAUAAGCUCCGGCUAACUACGUG